CCUACGGGUGGCAGCAGUGAGGAAUAUUGGUCAAUGGACGAGAGUCUGAACCAGCCAAGUAGCGUGAAGGAUGACUGCCCUAUGGGUUGUAAACUUCUUUUAUCAAGGAAUAAAACGAGGCACGUGUGCCUUUUUGCAUGUACUUUAUGAAUAAGGAUCGGCUAACUCCGUGCCAGCAGCCGCGGUAAUACGGAGGAUCCGAGCGUUAUCCGGAUUUAUUGGGUGUAAAGGGAGCGUAGAUGGGUUGUUAAGUCAGUUGUGAAAGUUUGCGGCUCAACCGUAAAAUUGCAAUUGAUACUGGCAGUCGUGAGUACAGUUGAGGUAGGCGGAAUUCGUGGUGUAGCGGUGAAAUGCUUAGAUAUCACGAAGAACCCCGAUUGCGAAGGCAGCUUACUAAACUGUGACUGACAUUGAUGCUCGAAAGUGUGGGUAUCAAACAGGAUUAGAUACCCGUGUAGUC
Molecule: ribosomal RNA, 460 nt
Filed under: uncultured bacterium
Lineage: Bacteria
Description: partial 16S ribosomal RNA
Rfam family: Bacterial small subunit ribosomal RNA
Source: RNAcentral